This 484-nucleotide ribosomal RNA is filed under the name uncultured bacterium. RNAcentral describes it as "partial 16S ribosomal RNA". It matches the Rfam family "Bacterial small subunit ribosomal RNA", at positions 30 to 507 of the family's 1533-position model. The record is from RNAcentral.
AUUGAACGCUGGCGGCAGGCCUAACACAUGCAAGUCGAGCGGAUGAAGGGAGCUUGCUCCUGGAUUCAGCGGCGGACGGGUGAGUAAUGCCUGGGAAUCUGCCUGGUAGUGGGGGAUAACGUCCGGAAACGGGCGCUAAUACCGCAUACGUCCUGAGGGAGAAAGUGGGGGAUCUUCGGACCUCACGCUAUCAGAUGAGCCUAGGUCGGAUUAGCUAGUUGGUGGGGUAAAGGCCUACCAAGGCGACGAUCCGUAACUGGUCUGAGAGGAUGAUCAGUCACACUGGAACUGAGACACGGUCCAGAGUCCUAGGGGAGGCAGCAGUGGGGAAUAUUGGACACUGGGCGAAAGCCUGAUCCAGCCAUGCAGCGUGUGUGAAGCAGGUCUUCGGAUUGUAAAGCACUUUAAGUUGGGAGGAAGGGCAGUAAGUUAAUACCUUGCUGUUUUGACGUUACCAACAGAAUAAGCACCGGCUAACUUCGUG